Molecule: ribosomal RNA, 599 nt
Filed under: Enterococcus faecium
Lineage: Bacteria; Bacillati; Bacillota; Bacilli; Lactobacillales; Enterococcaceae
Description: bacterial SSU rRNA
Rfam family: Bacterial small subunit ribosomal RNA
Source: RNAcentral
CUAUACAUGCAGUCGUACGCUUCUUUUUCCACCGGAGCUUGCUCCACCGGAAAAAGAGGAGUGGCGAACGGGUGAGUAACACGUGGGUAACCUGCCCAUCAGAAGGGGAUAACACUUGGAAACAGGUGCUAAUACCGUAUAACAAUCGAAACCGCAUGGUUUUGAUUUGAAAGGCGCUUUCGGGUGUCGCUGAUGGAUGGACCCGCGGUGCAUUAGCUAGUUGGUGAGGUAACGGCUCACCAAGGCCACGAUGCAUAGCCGACCUGAGAGGGUGAUCGGCCACAUUGGGACUGAGACACGGCCCAAACUCCUACGGGAGGCAGCAGUAGGGAAUCUUCGGCAAUGGACGAAAGUCUGACCGAGCAACGCCGCGUGAGUGAAGAAGGUUUUCGGAUCGUAAAACUCUGUUGUUAGAGAAGAACAAGGAUGAGAGUAACUGUUCAUCCCUUGACGGUAUCUAACCAGAAAGCCACGGCUAACUACGUGCCAGCAGCCGCGGUAAUACGUAGGUGGCAAGCGUUGUCCGGAUUUAUUGGGCGUAAACCGAGCGCAGGCGGUUUCUUAAGUCUGAUGUGAAAGCCCCCGGCUCAGCCAGGGAG